This 553-nucleotide ribosomal RNA is filed under the name Vilius macrops. RNAcentral's name for it is "eukaryotic LSU rRNA". It matches the Rfam family "Eukaryotic large subunit ribosomal RNA", at positions 671 to 1098 of the family's 3401-position model. The record is from RNAcentral. Lineage: Eukaryota; Metazoa; Arthropoda; Insecta; Hemiptera; Reduviidae.
GAGUUUCUUGUGUACGCAAGUCAUUGGGUGAUUAAAACCUAAAGGCAUAAUGAAAGUAAAUAGAUAUAAAUGGGGUAGAGAAGUGAUUCUUUUUCUUGUCUAUAUCUUUAUAGGGAAGAUGAAAAAUUAAUUUUAAUUCUUUUUCUUAAAAAGAAAGAUAAAAUUAAUUUUUCCGCAUUCCUAGGGCGCUUGUUACUCGCAUUGCGAGUUUAUGCGCACCCAGAGCGUACACGAUGAUACCCGAAAGAUGGUGAACUAUGCCUGGCCAGGACGAAGCCAGGGGAAACCCUGGUGGAGGUCCGCAGCGAUUCUGACGUGCAAAUCGAUCGUCAGAGCUGGGUAUAGGGGCGAAAGACCAAUCGAACCAUCUAGUAGCUGGUUCCCUCUGAAGUUUCCCUCAGGAUAGCUUGCGCUUGUAUUUAAUUUAAAUUAAUAAAAAAUUUUUUAAUUGAGUCUCAUCCGGUAGAGCGAAUGAUUAGAGGCAUUGGGGUCGAAACGACCUCAACCUAUUCUCAAACUCCAAAUAGAUGAGAACCCUGGCUUUCUUGAAUAA